AUUAAUAAUUAUUAUAUUUAAUAAAAAUAAUUUUAAUUUAAUAAAUAUUUUAAUGGGGGUUAAAGUAUUAUUUAAAGAAAAAAUUUUUAAAUUUAUAGUUAAUUAGUAUUGUGAAAGAAUUUUGAAAUAUUAUGAAAAUUAAAAUUUUAGUAAAGUAAUUUUUAUUUAUUGUAUCUUGUGUAUCAGAGUUUAUUAAAAAUUUUUAAUUUAUAAAUUAAUUUCUCGAAUUUAAAAGAGUUAAAUAAUUAUUAAAGUUAUUGUAGCAAAAUUAUUUUAAAUAAUUAUUUAGAAAUGAAAUGUUAAUCGUUUUUAAAUAUAUCUAGUUUUUAUAGAAAAAAAUUUAAUUUUAAAUUUUUAUAUUAUUUAAUUAAUUUAUUAAUUAAAUAAUUAUAAAAAUUUUAUAAUUUAAGGGAUAAGCUUUAAAUUAGAUUUUUAUAAUACUAAAUUUUUAUUUUGAAAAUUUUAUAAUUUAUAUUGUUAAUAAAUUUUAUUUUAUUAUAAAUAAUUUCAUUUUUUUUAAAAUUUAAAUUUUAUUUAAUUUUUUAUAUAAAAUUUAUUUAUAAUUAUAUAAAUUUAAUUAUAAUGAUAAAAUUAGUAUAUUAUUUAAUAUAAAAUUAAAAUUAAUUUUUAAUUAAUAAUUAAAUUAAUUAAAAGGAAUUCGGCAAAUAUUUAUUUUCACUUGUUUAUCAAAAACAUGUCUUUUUGUUUUUAAUUUAAAGUCUAAUCUGCCCACUGAUUUAAAAAAAUUGAAGGGCUGCAGUAUAUUGACUGUACAAAGGUAGCAUAAUCAUUAGUCUCUUAAUUGGUGACUUGUAUGAAAGAUUGGAUGAAAAAUAUACUGUCUCUUAAUUAAUAUGUAGAAUUUAAUUUUUUAUUUAAAAAGUUAAAAUAAUUUAAAAAGACGAGAAGACCCUAUAGAGUUUAAUAAGUUUUUUUGUAAGAGUUUUAUUUAUAAUUAUUAAUAAUUUUAUAAAUUUUUUUAUUUUAUUGGGGUGAUAAAAAAAUAAAUUUAACUUUUUUUAAAUAAUUUACAUAAAUAAAUGAUUAAU
RNAcentral lists this ribosomal RNA (1049 nucleotides) under Biston quercii. RNAcentral describes it as "partial 16S ribosomal RNA". Lineage: Eukaryota; Metazoa; Arthropoda; Insecta; Lepidoptera; Geometridae. The record is from RNAcentral.